AUUGAACGCUGGCGGCAGGCCUAACACAUGCAAGUCGAACGGUAACAGGAAGCAGCUUGCUGCUUCGCUGACGAGUGGCGGACGGGUGAGUAAUGUCUGGGAAGCUGCCUGAUGGAGGGGGAUAACUACUGGAAACGGUAGCUAAUACCGCAUAAUGUCGCAAGACCAAAGAGGGGGACCUUCGGGCCUCUUGCCAUCGGAUGUACCCAGAUGGGAUUAGCUUGUUGGUGGGGUAACGGCUCACCAAGGCGACGAUCCCUAGCUGGUCUGAGAGGAUGACCAGCCACACUGGAACUGAGACACGGUCCAGACUCCUACGGGAGGCAGCAGUGGGGAAUAUUGCACAAUGGGCGCAAGCCUGAUGCAGCCAUGCCGCGUGUAUGAAGAAGGCCUUCGGGUUGUAAAGUACUUUCAGCGGGGAGGAAGGGAGUAAAGUUAAUACCUUUGCUCAUUGACGUUACCCGCAGAAGAAGCACCGGCUAACUCCGUG
This 490-nucleotide ribosomal RNA is filed under the name uncultured bacterium. RNAcentral's name for it is "partial 16S ribosomal RNA". It matches the Rfam family "Bacterial small subunit ribosomal RNA", at positions 30 to 507 of the family's 1533-position model. The record is from RNAcentral.